Molecule: long non-coding RNA, 3029 nt
Organism: Coccinella septempunctata (seven-spotted ladybird)
Lineage: Eukaryota; Metazoa; Arthropoda; Insecta; Coleoptera; Coccinellidae
Exons: 3
Source: RefSeq, a predicted model, not a curated record
UCAAAAUUUGAAAAAAACUUCAUAUCAAUAUAGGUUCUGAAAUGCACCUCACGGGCGCUAGAGCCUCUUCAACAUGACCUCCAAAAUCUGAUCAUGCGAUAGCUUUGCCGAAACUUGACGGAUUCGAAUGAAAUUUGAUACAUGGGAAUUUUUUGAUGAACUGACUCAGUGAUGAAAAAAUCGUAUGAUUCUCAUCAUCAUAAAAUUAUUUCUAAAUAAGUAAGUGAUUUCAUAGAAAUUUCGAUGAAAGCAGUAAUUUCCGAAAUAAUUUUUGUACCAAAAAAGGACCCUAGUAAAUUUUACAGAGCAUCAUUCUCGAGGACAAAGUGAUUUAGCGAUGAUAUGUAUUUUGACACAAUGGGAGCUACCAUUUUUGUACUCAUCAGUUGAAAAACUAAUACAAGAUGAAGAUAGACAAAUUAAUGCUAGAUUAGUUUUUCUAUGAUGACGGGAAAUUGUCAUUUCAUAGAUCAUAUUGUUGGAUUGUUGUGCUAGGGAAUGUGAAUUUUGCUUGGUAGUUGCGUAUAAGCAGUCUAUGCGACAGGCGCAGUAAACACAUUCUGCAUGCAUCCGACGCAUUACCGAAUCCAUACCUUUACAGUUUUGGCAUUUCGCUGAUAAUGAGACGUGCCAACCAAGAAACCGAGUUUAUGAAAUCUAACCAUUUGUCGAUACACUUGUGAAAAACUACCAGCAAGAUUUCACACCAGGCAGCACAUUUUGUAUAGAUCACAUUUUCAAACAAAAUAUACCCCUCAACAGUCAUAAAUACGGAAUAAAAAUAUUCAAACUUAGUAGUGAAGGAGGAUAUACCUGGAAUAAGAUUAUUUACUGUGAAAAGGAGCAAGAUACAGGAGCUCUGUUUCAACAAACGUAGUGAUAUCCUUUACAGAAAGUCUAUUAGACCAGGGAAGUACAGCGAUAACUGAUAAUUAUGGGUUGUUCGGAAAGUCAUUUCGUUUAGGUGGCCUAAUUGUAUUUUUACAGAAAACUUCACACUUACGGCGCAUAAUCAUGAUAUAUUUUGACAGAUAAUAUAGUAAGGCUUGUUUGUUGAAAUUUUUGUUUCAUUCUUAGCUAAAGUUUUUGUUUGGUGCUCUAUCAAAGAUGGAAAAUCAGAAGCAGCAUUUUCGGCAAAUUUUACUCUUUUACGAUCGAAAAGUUCAAGCAAAGCGAAAAUUAUGUGAUGUGUAUGGAGAAGAUAUAUUGACCGAACGACAGUGCCAAAAUUGGUUUGCCAAAUUUCGUUCUGGCAAUUUCGAUGUUGAAGAUGCACCACGUUCUGGAUGUCCCGUUAAAGCCGAUGAAGGCACAAUAAAGGCAUUGAUAGAUGCAAACCGCCGAAUGACAACUCGUGAGACUGCUGAGAGGUUGAAUUUAUCAAAUUUGACCGUUCGUAAUGAUGUGAAACGUCCUGGUUUAGUUUCAGAACUUGACAUAUGGAUUCCACAUGACUGUGAUUUGCUUCUCAAUCAAUCAACAAAAUGAUACAUUUUUGAAGAAAAUCAUUACUGGCGACGAAAAAUGGCUUGUCUACAAAAAUGUUGAGCGCAAGUGAUCAUGGAGUAAAAAAUAUGAACCAGCCCAAACCACUUCAAAGUCCGAUAUUCAGCAAAAAAGGGUAUGCUAUCUGUUUGGUGGGAUCGUUUUAUUUGAGCUUCUACCGGACAAUACUACGAUUAAUUCUGAAGUGUACUGUGAUCCACAGGAUAAAUUGAAUGAUUCACUCGAACAGAAAAGACCAGAAUUAAUCAAUAGAACAGGUGUAGUCGCAAGAUAAUGCGAGACCCAUACAAGUUUAGUAACUCGCCAAAAGCUUUUAAAUCUUGAGUGGGAUGGACUACCACAUCCACCAUAUUUUCCAGAUUUGGCACCUUCACUUCCAAUCAGGACGUCAAAUAUCAGUUGGACCAGUUUUUUGCCAGCAAAGAUCAGAAGUUUUAUGAACGUGGAAUCAUUCUCUUGCUCGAAAGAUGGCAAAAAAUAUUGGGCCAAAAUGGAGAAUAUAUAAUUUAAUAAAAUUAAUCAAAGUUUAUUUUCAUUCCCGAAAAAAAUUACUACAGUAAACAAUUAGUAUAAAAAAACAUUUUUUUCCCACGAAAGUUCGAAAAUUCUACGUGGGCAGUACAUAUAAAAAAAAGUUUGCAAAAGAAUUGUGUGCACACAAGUAAGAAGAGAAAAAAACUAUUAAAAAAUUACAAUGCUUAAUUAAAUUAAUUUUCAACAUUUGAAACGGUAAGUAUUAAAAGUAUUCACUAAUACUAUUAGUGAACGUAUACUAGAAUGAUAAUGAUUUGGUUCGAAUCCAUUUUUUUUGUCUUUCCAUUGUAUGUUGUUUUUGCCUUGGUUUCUUUAAUGUUCUUUGGAAGUAUAUUGUAUAGUAAAGGUGCCAGGUAGGUAUGUGAUUUCAAACCAAUAGUUUUCUUUGCCAUAGGUAAAGGGAUGUUGUGAGAUCUCAUGUCUUUCCAGGCUGAUGUUGUACAGUAGAAGGGCACGGUCGUAUAGUUGACGCACAGUAAACAUUUUUGACAGCUUGUAUGGAUUUUCUGUUGGAUGUUUCUGAGGAGAACUCUAUGAAGGUUGAGUAAUGGUCGGUCACAGUUGUAUGCAGUAAAGCAGGAUUCCAGCAGCAUUGCAAGAUUCCUAUUGAAUUCCUCCACAGAUGAACUUGAAGAUCUGUACAUAGCGAUGACCUAUAUGUUUUUAUUAAGCUUUGUUAUAUUGAGGUCUAUAACUUUUAUUUCUCCAACCUUUACUAUGUCAAAACUAUAUUGUAAGUUACUCCUUAUAAACACAACAACACCAUUAUUCUGAUUAAAUUCCAUUCCAUAUUGAUUGAGAUCCCCUACUUUCCAUGUUUCGGCUAGAACUAUGCAAUUUACAUCAAAAUUUAACUGUGAUAAAACAAUAUUGAAUUCAUCAGAAUUUUUACCUAUACUUCUUAUAUUAUUAUGUAGAAUUCUUAAAUUACCGCUGUUUUCUUUAUAGAUAAUAAAUUGUGUUCUUCUGUGAUCUGAACAUUUCUGGUA